RNAcentral lists this long non-coding RNA (2546 nucleotides) under Canis lupus familiaris (dog). Its description in RNAcentral is "lncRNA (ENSCAFG00845028262.1)". Lineage: Eukaryota; Metazoa; Chordata; Mammalia; Carnivora; Canidae. The record is from RNAcentral.
UUUUUUUUUUUUUUUUUUUUUUUAUGGGAUAUGGGUGUAUCCCAAAUGGAAAAACUUAAAAACCUAUCAAGAAAGGCCCUUAAAGUAUAUAUUUAAUAAAUGGGGUGGGGGGUGGGUAGGGCGAUAUACAUGCUCUGCCGGUGAGCAAUCGAAAAUGGAAUUUGAGAGACAGCUUCUUAGCAGAGGGGAAGAAUUUGCCAAGUGUGAUGCUUUGCUGUCAUUUUAUAUAUAACUACUAACCCCACAUAUGGUCUGGUUAGUCUUUUUUUUUAAAAGGAAGUGAACCAAUUACUUACAAUUAAUUAGCAGUGCCAGAAGUAAAUUCUUUGGCCAGAACUCUUUUUUUUUUUCCCCCCAACCACUCAAAAUACACCGAUGUUGAUCAUUUCUAUUUCCAGCACCAGGGUUCCUUUUCUCAGGGAAGAUAAAUAUCUUUCUUUAAAAUAUUUUUUUAAGCCCCUAUAGUCACAUCCUAAAACGCAAUCCCAAAGACGCUCUUCAACAAACAAGAAACUUCAUUUAACUUAACCAAAACAAAUGACUUGGAGCAUUGCUACAAAACAAACUAUGAGCAAGUGGAACCAGGUUGAGCCUCCACAUUCGGUGUAGCCUCGCUCUACAUGUUAAUGGAUAACCUUUGAACUCUGAAACCUUGAAUGCUGUAAACACAAUGGCACUGAUAGUUAAAAAUUCUAGUGUCAAAAUUGGGCAAAAAGAAAAAAAAAAUCCAAACUUUGCAGGAGGGGGAUAGGCAAACAAUCAAAUGUUUUGACAAAUAAUCACUCACUAAGAACAAUGAGGCUUCUGGCUCUCAGACCUUGUUGCUACUGAAUUAUUUUCUGAGCAAAAACGGUUGUGCUUUCUCUCUCUCUCUCUCUGCUCUUACAAAGCUACCACUUUGUUAGCAUAAUAGCAUCCUAUGGUUUGUUAGUUACUGUUUCUCUCUCCUCACCCUAACCCCACCCCACCCCCAAAAGAAGAACCUUAUUAUGUUGUAGCUUUUAAAAUUGAAAGAUAAUUGUAUGAGCUGAUCUAUCUGCUAAGAGUUUUAUAUGUGAUCCUUAUGUUUGAGCAAAGAAUUACAAAGAACCUUAUUCCUGGAGACGUGCCAAUAAAACUGGGAAAUCGUUGCAAAAAAUUCUGCCCGUGACUGAGUGCUGGGUUACAAACACAUACUGUGUUUUUAAAUGGACACACAGUGAUAUGAAUUUGCUAAGGGCGUCCGUGGGACACACACUCUCCCCUUAGAAUGUGACGACUCAUACUUUUAAGAUUUACUUGGGAAGCAUGCCCAGUUAAAACCCUGAAAAAUGGAAACUCCAAAAGUAAAGAACACUAGGAACGUUUAGUUUUGUAGUAAAAAGCUCAGAACUCCUUAUUAUUCCAUGAAAUGAAAAUUGAAAGCCCAGCGUUAGUCAGUCUACGGAUACUUAGCUCCACCCACGAGUAAUCCUGUUUUGCCAUCACCCCCAGCUAGACUAUCUCUAAAGGAGUCAGGUGCUGCAGAGACGCUGGCAACAAACAAAGGAUAGAACCAGAAAUGUCCCUUCGAAUGGAAGCUGAUGCUCUGCACAUGUUAACCAGAGAAAGGGCGGAAAGAAGCCCCACUUCGCCUCCCCUUAAUGCGACAAACAUCAGCUACACCUCGUUUUUCACAAUUAUCCAAACAGACCAGCCCUCCUUAAGAUCUAUUUCCCAGGGUACGCUUAGAAAAUCGCACUAUUAUCUCUGAUUUAAUCCUCGUGAUAGGAGACCUCUUCCUCUGCUAACUUCUGAUUUUCUCUCCAGAUGCUGCCUGCCACACACAGCCUUCUCAGAUCUCAUAACAAAACAAAACAAAACAAAAAGCCCUCCUAAUUUGCUACAUUUAACAUUUAUUGGGAUCAUCUUUGGAGACUUAGCCUUCAUUAGAAGAACAAUGCGAUAUGAUCCUCCUAUUUCACAAGUUAUUUUAUGUUACUGUGGAACUCUUACAAGAAAGACAGUUUGGAAACUGCACGUAAAUCCCUGGAGCUGAAAUGGAGCCAACAUAGAUACUCGACUUAAAAAGAAUUCAGUGUUCAGGGCAGGAAAACCCGAAAACUGCAAGUGAGGAGUCAGCAGGAAAAGAAAAUGAAAAAGUUAGGCAAACCUGCCAGCUCUUGCUAACUACAAAGGACAUUUGAGAAGGAAACGGGGACAGCCCUUUUAACACGACUGAAUGCAUUAAAUUAAGUGGGGAUCACCAACAAGUCCAGGGAAUGCUACACUCCUCUCUUCUCUAUCAGGUUUCUUGAUCCCACUCCGAGUCAUCUCGAAAUUUGAAGCCCUCCAUAAAACAUCAUCGUGUAAUAUAUGAUAAAAAUAAAUUGCAGAAGUCACCUUUCAGAAGUGGAGGCAGUGCCCGGGGCCUGGAGACUCUCUCUCCCUCGGAGUUGCCAGUCCACUUGGCUCAGAACAAUACUGUAAGAGAUGAGACUGCUGGUUUUUACAAGCAAACUGGAAAGGGAGGGGCCAAGCAUAAGGCUCAAUUUAAAUCGAGGAUUAGACACAAUUGCGACUUGAUU